AAACAUAGCUUCUAGCCAAACAACUAUUAGAAGUACCGCCUGCCCUGUGGUAAACCUAAACGGCCGCGGCACUAAAACCGUGCAAAGGUAGCACAAUCACUCGUCCCCUAAAUAGAGACCCGUAUGAAAGGCAACACGAGAGAAAACCUGUCUCCUAAGAUACGCCAAUGAAAUUGAACUCCCAGUACAAAAGCUGGCAUAUAACAGCAAGACAAAAAGACCCUGUGGAACUUUAAAGACUUGCUUACACAAACUAAACAAUAUUUUCAGUUGGGACAACUUUAGAAAAAAUAAACCUCUAAAUACGACUAAGACCAACAAGUCUACCCCAUCUCACAGACCCAGUCACACUGACUAAUGAAACAAGCUACCCCAGGGAUAACAGCGCCACCUUCUCAAAAAGUCCCUAUUAACAAGAAGACCUACGACCUCGAUGUUGGAUCAGGGUACCCAGACGGUGCAACAGCUGUCAAAGGUUCGUUUGUUCAACGACUAACACCCUACGUGAUCUGAGNUCAGACCGGA
Molecule: ribosomal RNA, 525 nt
Filed under: Rhampholeon spectrum
Lineage: Eukaryota; Metazoa; Chordata; Lepidosauria; Squamata; Chamaeleonidae
Description: partial large subunit ribosomal RNA
Rfam family: Bacterial large subunit ribosomal RNA
Source: RNAcentral